RNAcentral lists this long non-coding RNA (602 nucleotides) under Pongo abelii (Sumatran orangutan). Its description in RNAcentral is "lincRNA". Lineage: Eukaryota; Metazoa; Chordata; Mammalia; Primates; Hominidae. The record is from RNAcentral.
GAAGUUCUGCUUUCUGUUCCCUGAUCAGGGACCAGAGAGGGGCAAAAUCUGCCUUUGAUCUUAACUCCCUAUUUUUUAUUUUUCCUCUUUCUUGAUCCCCUUGUCCACUUUUCAGAUUUAGCCUCACCUUGUAGGUGCUACCCUUCUGAGGUCUAGGUAAGAAAGAUUGAGAUUCCAUCAGCACUAGACAAACCCAGCCAUCCGGAGCAGUCAAGACAUGUUGGAGGAACAAAGGAAGGAGGUCAUGUUACCAGUUUCUAAGGCUUGGAGUCAUCUGGAAGAAGCUGGAAUCACAGUACAGGUGGGAUGGAAGUGCAAUGGAAGAAGUGGAACCACAGUGAAGCAUGUUCCAGAAGGCCAGGGUGGUCGGUUCUGCUGCACAAAUGAGGUCAGAGCAAUCAAGAGAGCCAAGGAAGUCCUACUUAUCUGGAUUAAAUAACUCAAUCUACAAACUGCUUAACUUUAAUACAAGGUGGAAAAUAGGAUUUCAAAAGAAAAGAAGAAGGAGAAGAACAAGGACACGAAACUGAGUUUUGGCAGAAGGCAAGUGAGCGAUUAAAAAUAAAUCUUUCAUGAUUUGCUCCCACAGGCAAAAAAUAUAA